RNAcentral lists this long non-coding RNA (2328 nucleotides) under Sus scrofa (pig). RNAcentral's name for it is "lncRNA (ENSSSCG00045005936.1)". Lineage: Eukaryota; Metazoa; Chordata; Mammalia; Artiodactyla; Suidae. The record is from RNAcentral.
CAUCCAAUCGCCCUCGUUAUUAACAUAUCAUUAAUGGUCUGCUUGUCAAAACUAAGAAAAUGACGUCUGCCUAUUCCUAUUAAUUAAAUUCCAGACUCUAUUUGGGUAUCAUGAGUUUUCCCAUUGGUGUCCUCUCUGUUCCAAGAUCCCGUCCAGGGCACCACAGUGCAUUAGUUAUCACGUCCCCCCAGGUUCCUCUGAUGUGACAGCCUCUCAUUCUUGUCUUGUUUUUAUGACCAUGACAAGCGGUGUCCUGAGACCUUGGUUUGGUGUAGUUUAUCACAAAUGUCCAAAUGAGGCAGUAUCAAGAGUUGAGAGAGCCAUAACCAAGUCACCUGAGAGUCAGGCUUUGGUGCCUCCUGGCAGUGCAGGGAAGUUGCCAUUUCAGUUCAUCGCUGCACUGCUGCCUGGGUUCUGUCCUCAUGCAGUGACUCAGGGAGACAGAUUCUCUUGAGGCUGGGAACCUGAGUCCAUGGCAAGUGGUAGGCUUCGGUGACCAGGUAGCUUACCAAGGAAUUAGAACCUCCUGCCCCUCCACGUCCACUGCCAAUUCCAAGUGUCUCGUAACCACGAUAUGGUGCGGGCCCAUCUCCUUCGGUUCCCAGGCUAGGGGUCCAAUCGGAGCUGUAGCCACUGGCCUACUCCACAGCCAUAGCAACGCCAGAUCCGAGCUGCAUCUGUGACCUGCACCACAGCUCAUGGGAACUCGGGAUCCUUAACCCACUGAGCAAGGCCAGGGAUCGAACCUGUGUCUUCAUGGAUACUAGUCAGGUUCGUUAACUGCUGAACCACGACGGCAACUCCCCAAGAUUUUUUUUUUUUUUUUUCUGGUCAUCUUAACUUCAUACAGAGCAUUUGCAUUUGCCUUUUGCCUUCUUUGUGAUGGUGACUGGAAGUGAGAGCCACCAUCUGAAAAUGGCUUCUCCAUAGGCUUGGAGGAUAGACGUGUGCCUCUUAGCAGCCUGUGACUGAGGUCAGUGAGAGGAACUCUCCGACCAGCCCUGAUGAAGAAGCCAUGGUCGGUUGUCUGGGGAAAGUUUUGUCUGAAUCACUUGAAUCAGUGAAGUCAGAGCAGACUUUUCAUUGUGAUUAUGUGGGUCAUGCAGUCCUGAUGCCUCCCGGUGGACCUCAGUAAAGGGUGACUAAUGGAUCACAGGGUCGCCUGGUUAAGUGGAGGAGAAAAAUCUGGGCAGCCAGGGGCAAGGCUUGAGGCAGUCCCCGUCUGUGGCCACCCUCCGGCCAAGGCUGUCUGCUGUCACCCAAAGACACUGACUCAUCAGAGCCUCAUUAGAGGAAACUUCAGACACUCCCGGGCAGGUUCACGUACCCCCAGCUUUGCCCCUUGCCCCUGGCGCCUUGGGUGGUUGAUACCUCGGGGUCAAGAGGGCAGAGCCUGUGGCCGUGAGCAGAGCUGCUGUGGGAGAGCUCGCGGAAGGCAGCACUCCGUGUGAACCACGCUGUCAUUUGUGAGAGGGUCAGCCCAGCGCAGGCUCUGCUCUUCGUGAUGUCACCACUGAAGUCCCCUGGCUCUGAAUCCCAGUUGUUUCUUAUGUUAACUCUUUCGGUGUUGCUGUUAGUUGGUAAUAAGAGAAGAGGUUCUGAAGAUUACUCUGUAUUUUACCUUCAGUAACGUCCUGGCGUUCCCUGGUGAGGUUUGCAUCUUUCUUUCUCUCCCCCCGGAGCCCCACCUACCGGCUUCCUCUUCUAGUCCCCAUCCCCGACUCUCCUGCCUCUCUCUUUUAUACGGUUGCUUUUUAAUUCUUCAGAGCCCUUGUCACUUCAGAACUCAAAUAGGAUGCCCAAGCUGAAUGACUUAAAAUAAAACCUUAGCCCAGGAUCUUGGGUGAGCAGAUGUUCUUCUAAGUUGGGAGGUUAAACCACGUGCCUGGGCAAGCUGGAAUCCAGCAUGGCCUCUGGGACCAGUCUCCCCUGGUAAGUGUGGUGUCUCCUGCUGCAGGGUCUCUCUCUGGGUCCCCAUGCAAACAUGUUGUCAGGAGAUGAGCUCAAAAGCAAGCUCACCAAAAUGAAGCCCCCAAGGAGUGUGACCUCUGCGCCCCCAGCUGAUGUGCUCUUCCAGCAGCCGGGCCAGAAGCAGGUUUCAUCAGCUGGUUCGCAAGCUGGUUUCAUCUCUACCUGAGGAAAGAUAAAGACCUCUGCUCAGGAAAUGCGAGCCCCUGUUCCCAGACCUUGCUCCUCUCAAGCUGAUGGACAGGUAUGGAAGGAAUGCAUUUGUUGGGAGGAAUUCAGUGGUGCCCAGGCACAAAUGGAAGUGACAUUCUUAUCUGUCUUUUUUCUACUUUGGGGAAAAGAAAAAAAAAAAAAAAAAAA